CGGCGGCGGAGGCGCCUCUGCAGCUCCGGCUCCCCCUGGCCUCUCGGGAACUACAAGUCCCAGGGGGCCUGGCGGCGGGCGGCGGGCGGAAGAGGCGGGGUCGGCGCC
MicroRNA precursor from Chlorocebus sabaeus (green monkey), 108 nucleotides. The record is from Ensembl. NCBI's taxonomy places the organism in Eukaryota, Metazoa, Chordata, Mammalia, Primates, Cercopithecidae.